Molecule: long non-coding RNA, 697 nt
Organism: Photinus pyralis (common eastern firefly)
Lineage: Eukaryota; Metazoa; Arthropoda; Insecta; Coleoptera; Lampyridae
Exons: 2
Source: RefSeq, a predicted model, not a curated record
UUGUGGAACAGCCUGUAUGUACAUAAAGAAAACUUCGCUAAACUAAAUUGCUUAUCGCCAAGUGCAGGCGGGCAUUGUAAAACAUACACAUUUUUGAUUAUUUUUAUUUGAACGUGAGGUCUACUCAAGCACGUCGUAUUUAAAGUGUAAUUGCGUUCACCAAGCAAUUAAGUAAGCAGUAAUUUAGUCGCAAUUACCUAUAUUAGACGGAUAGCUGUAUUAUUGACAUUCCUCACAAACUGGAAAGGAUUGGGCUCGGAUUUGUGGGGACGGAGUCUCAUAGAGACUCCGGUUUACGGGAUACCUCAUUAUUACGGUUGGAAAUUGGGUAACCGUUUAAAUCAGCCACUCCAUCGGCUUACGAACGCUGCCAUCAACGUGACUGAGUACUGGGAUUAUUAGCUAGCUCCUGGCCGUCUUGCCUGUACCUGCUGCACCACCUGCAACCCCAACAUAGGAUCUAGUUCAUCUGUAAUCACAAUAGAUACUCACCGGAAGCGGAACCAUCUCAUCUCUACCAUACCUACCAUCUGACCAUAAGGGUGAGCGUUGCUGAGUGGUUGCGUGGAUGCGAGGGUGUUUGUAUUGUAUGUUAGUCUGUAAGCUAUCACAGGAUUUGUUAUAUUAUAUUGUAGUCGUCCAUCGCAUGUUUUGUAAUUAAAUAUAUAUAUGCUAACGUAUCCGAGUGUCUUCCGAA